AUGAGUAAUGCCGCAAUCUCUAUUUGCUCUUGGAAUUUACGUGGCUUGGGUGACGAUGCCAAGUGCUCUGAUGUCCUAUCUGAAUCGAUCGCGAUCAAACCUCACAUUGCCCUCCUGCAAGAAUCAAAACUCGAUACUUACUCCGACACCAAACUAAGAUCAUUCUUGCCACGUCACCUCGACCAAGUCUUCUCAUUACCCGCCAUUGGCACGGCUGGCGGCACUAUUUCUGCCUUUAGCACAACUUCUCUCCAACUUAUCUCAUACACUCACCUCACCUUCUCCACCCUAAUUCUAAAAUCAACAGCAUGUGCUCGCAACAUCGCCAUUACCAAUAUCUACGCACCCUCUUCACGUGCGCUCAAACAAUCCUUCCUGGAUGAGCUCCUAGCUAUCUCACAACCAGAUGAUUAUCCAUGGUUGAUUGUUGGAGACUUCAACCUCCUUCGCUUCCCCUCCGACAAAAAUAACAAUGCCUUUCGGCAGUCUGAGGCCAAUGCAUUUAAUCAAACCCUAGACAACCUAGCUCUUAUCGAGUUGCCACUCCUUGAUCGCUAAUUUACUUGGUCCAACAAUAGAGAAAUGCCCACCUUAGAACAGACCGACUGCGCUUUCUUUAAUCUAGCUUGGGUCGAUGCCUUUCCUAACACAUCUCUAUCGUCGCUCACACGAUUCACGUCCGAUCAC
RNAcentral lists this ribosomal RNA (687 nucleotides) under Triticum aestivum (bread wheat). RNAcentral describes it as "partial small subunit ribosomal RNA". Lineage: Eukaryota; Viridiplantae; Streptophyta; Magnoliopsida; Poales; Poaceae. The record is from RNAcentral.